UACGUUAACUUGCAGCGUAGGACCAGGCAGGGACGUUUUCUCAGUCGACGGGCUGCUUUUUCUGCAUAGAAAGUUGGCGGCAUAUUGAUUGUUUCCUAUGGGGGUCGUCGCGCUGGCCACUAAAGUUUCUAAAACGCAUACUGAAAUUUAAAGGAUGUUAUUCGGCAGGGGGAGAAACAGUGGCCAAGAGGAGAUCUCUCAGGUUGAGUGAAAAACCUGCACCUUCAAAGGCAGAGGCCAAACCUAAGCCCAAGAAGGCACCUGCUAAGCCUAAAAAAGCCAAGGAGGUGGAGAAGGCAAAGCCCGAGGAGAAAGCACCAGAGGCCCCCGCUGAGAAUGGUGAAGCCAAAGCCGAGGAAGAGGCACCGGCCACAGAAGAAGCGGACGAAAAAGAUGAUGCGGCAGAAUAACAUCUCUCAAACCACGUCUUUGCCAGUGCUCCCUGUACCUCUUUUCUUGUACAAUUCAGGGGAAUAUUUUUAUCAACUAUUUUCUAAAUACAGGUUUUUUAGUAGUUUGAUUGUAGAGAACACUUUUUUUUAAUGAAAGAAAAAAAAGUCAAUUUGGAGACGGGAAUUUCGUCACAUCCCACAAUUUUGCAUCGCCACAAAAAAUCGCGGUUGUUGUUUCUGUCAGUGGAUUUCGUUUCAUUUUUAAAUGUGAAGAGGGCGGGGAGGGGUUGCAGGACAGGUUACUGUGUCGGCGCUUAAGCACAGCGUUCACAGCAGCUGGGGCAACAACCAGAGGAGCUUGUCCACGUGGAUUACAUUCCAUAUGCUUUAUAAGGGACAAUGUGUGUAAUCUGUGCGGGGUGGGAAUAGACAAAGUCACAGGGCAACUCAUUGUUUUAUUGUUCAUAAUGAAGAACUGUGUUUUAGAAUGUUUGUAAGCUUUGUUCCUAUAUGUUAUCUCUUGUACUCAUGCAGAUUUUCAAUGAAUCUGAUCAAUAAAGCUAAAAAUCCCUAGUACUCGAGCUCUCCUUAUCAAAACUGCAUCGCGUGUGUUGGUUGUGUCUCUGUUUCUGUGAUAGCAUCGCAAUAAAUUUGUAUAGCUGCUGUGAAAAAAAAGGUUUUCAAUCUUUCUAUAUGCAUUGUGUAAUGGUACAUAGUAAGGAUGGUAAAAAUGGAAUUUGUUUUCUUAGCCAGGAUAAUGAGGUGUGUAACCAUCAAAAACAAACUUGAGAUUGGCGUCUUUAAGGCCAACCGACAAACUGUACAUUUAUUUGAGAUGUCAAAUGCAUACCAGCAGUAGCAAUAUUAAUGUGGGUUUUAGAUAUCUGUAUCAAGUACACGUGUGCCGUUCAUUUUUAUUUGUUUAUAGAUGUACCUGUGUAAUGAUUGUUAUCAACAAACCAAUAAAACUCUGUUGGUAGUUGUUUCAUUCUGAGGCGUCGGUUUAUGAGCGAGGUUGCUGAAAGAUUGCUGUAACUGUUUCUAAAAGUUAAUGAAAGGGAGAAUACAAUAAAUAUUGAUAUUUAUAACAUAGAAAUGUGCUUGCCGCUUCCGCAUUGAUAGUGAUUUGUUAAAUCACCAAGCAAGCACCUACACUAUAACAAAUGUUUUCUACAUGUAAAAUAAAACUUGAUUCAUUAUCUGCUGUUGGAUCAAGGUAGACCAGCUAAUUUACAGUACUAGUCAAAAGUUUGGACACACUGUCUCAUUGAAUUCAGUGCUAAAAAUGUGUCCAGACGUUUGACU
This is a long non-coding RNA of Gasterosteus aculeatus aculeatus (three-spined stickleback), 1697 nucleotides long. NCBI's taxonomy places the organism in Eukaryota, Metazoa, Chordata, Actinopteri, Perciformes, Gasterosteidae. The record is from Ensembl.